CAGCAGCCGCGGUAAUACGAAGGGGGCUAGCGUUACUCGGAAUUACUGGGCGUAAAGGGCGCGUAGGCGGCACGAUUAGUCAGGCGUGAAAUUCCUGGGCUCAACCUGGGGACUGCGCUUGAUACGGUCGAGCUAGAGGAUGGAAGAGGGUCGUGGAAUUCCCAGUGUAGAGGUGAAAUUCGUAGAUAUUGGGAAGAACACCGGUGGCGAAGGCGGCGACCUGGUCCAUUACUGACGCUGAGGCGCGACAGCGUGGGGAGCAAACAGGAUUAGAUACCCCGGUAGUCCCUGUCUCUUAUAC
This 301-nucleotide ribosomal RNA is filed under the name uncultured bacterium. RNAcentral describes it as "partial 16S ribosomal RNA". It matches the Rfam family "Bacterial small subunit ribosomal RNA", at positions 509 to 807 of the family's 1533-position model. The record is from RNAcentral.